Long non-coding RNA from Neopelma chrysocephalum (saffron-crested tyrant-manakin), 991 nucleotides. RefSeq lists it as uncharacterized. The transcript is spliced from 5 exons. The record is from RefSeq and is a predicted model, not a curated record. NCBI's taxonomy places the organism in Eukaryota, Metazoa, Chordata, Aves, Passeriformes, Pipridae.
UGACCACUUCCCUGGGGAGCCUGUUCCAGUGCCCAACCACCCUCUGGGGUGUUUUGUUCUGUCCACAAAAGAAAGGAUAAAUCUGCUUUAUUCAGUUUGAGUAUUGAAAAGUAGCAGUGCCUGCUGUGAACUCUGCCUGCUUCUCUCUGACAUGAUUGAGAGAAUUUUGGAUGAUCGAUCUGCUGGAGAAUGACAGUGGAGAGAAGGCAAAUUUUAUCCUGGGAUGUCACUACAUAAAUCAAUUGAUCUCAGAUUCUAAGAGCAAAGCAAUAGAGAGGAGUUUGGAAGGAAAAGAAAGGACUUUUGGAAUGAGAAAAACGUUGUCUGCAGAGAAAACAGUAAGGCUGAAAGCUUAAAGCUCCAGUGUCUGUGCUGCGAUUGUUCUGUGCUGUCUGUGAUGGAAGAGAUAACACACCUUUUCCCUGACUCGGUAAGUUUCCUGACAUGGCAGACAUCCACACUCCCACAAACAACUCCAGCUCCAUCACUGUCAUCAUCUUUCCAGCAAAGGGCUAAGGGUUCUUUCCCCUUGCCCCCCUCCUCAGUCUAUCAGAGAUAGUCAGGCCUCAUCUGCACAAAAAAGUUUUACCUGAUUUAAAGGAGUAGCUGUACAAAUGCCUCUCUCCCCUCAUGGGUGCCUGUCCCGUGCUCACCCUCUCUGAUGCUUGUGUGAGAGAUGCUUUUUGGUUUUCACUUCUACCCAUUUCCACAUGAUAGAACCUAACUUGAAGAAACACAUUUUCAUGUACCUGAACGUCAACACAGAAUGGGAGAGUUAAUCCUUUACCUUCUGUUUCAUAUUCAGCCCUUUUGAGUACAUAGAAGAAAAACCCAUGCUCAUGGUGACCUACAUAAUCCAGCACAAUGGCUAAUCACACUUACAUGAGGUGACUGCCCAUGGUAUCAGGGAGGGAAUGCAGGCACAGGAGACCCCUGCUAGUGCUCUGUUCCUGAGAGUGGUACGAGUCGCUUUUACUCUCUAGAAAUAGAG